RNAcentral lists this ribosomal RNA (576 nucleotides) under Ensifer adhaerens. Its description in RNAcentral is "bacterial SSU rRNA". It matches the Rfam family "Bacterial small subunit ribosomal RNA", at positions 109 to 721 of the family's 1533-position model. Lineage: Bacteria; Pseudomonadati; Pseudomonadota; Alphaproteobacteria; Hyphomicrobiales; Rhizobiaceae. The record is from RNAcentral.
AGUAACGCGUGGGAAUCUACCCUUUUCUACGGAAUAACGCAGGGAAACUUGUGCUAAUACCGUAUACGCCCUUCGGGGGAAAGAUUUAUCGGGAAAGGAUGAGCCCGCGUUGGAUUAGCUAGUUGGUGGGGUAAAGGCCUACCAAGGCGACGAUCCAUAGCUGGUCUGAGAGGAUGAUCAGCCACAUUGGGACUGAGACACGGCCCAAACUCCUACGGGAGGCAGCAGUGGGGAAUAUUGGACAAUGGGCGCAAGCCUGAUCCAGCCAUGCCGCGUGAGUGAUGAAGGCCCUAGGGUUGUAAAGCUCUUUCACCGGUGAAGAUAAUGACGGUAACCGGAGAAGAAGCCCCGGCUAACUUCGUGCCAGCAGCCGCGGUAAUACGAAGGGGGCUAGCGUUGUUCGGAAUUACUGGGCGUAAAGCGCACGUAGGCGGACAUUUAAGUCAGGGGUGAAAUCCCGGGGCUCAACCCCGGAACUGCCUUUGAUACUGGGUGUCUAGAGUAUGGAAGAGGUGAGUGGAAUUCCGAGUGUAGAGGUGAAAUUCGUAGAUAUUCGGAGGGAAUUUCCUGUGUAGC